AGUGAACGCUGGCGGUAGGCCUAACACAUGCAAGUCGAACGGCAGCACAGUAAGAGCUUGCUCUUACGGGUGGCGAGUGGCGGACGGGUGAGGAAUAAAUCGGAAUCUACUUUUUCGUGGGGGAUAACGUAGGGAAACUUACGCUAAUACCGCAUACGACCUACGGGUGAAAGCAGGGAAUCUUCGGACCUUGCGCGAUUGAAUGAGCCGAUGUCGGAUUAGCUAGUUGGCGGGGUAAAGGCCCACCAAGGCGACGAUCCGUAGCUGGUCUGAGAGGAUGAUCAGCCACACUGGAACUGAGACACGGUCCAGACUCCUACGGGAGGCAGCAGUGGGAAAUAUUGGACAAUGGGCGCAAGCCUGAUCCAGCCAUACCGCGUGGGUGAAGAAGGCCUUCGGGUUGUAAAGCCCUUUUGUUGGGAAAGAAAAGCAGCAGGUUAAUACCCCGCUGUUCUGACGGUACCCUAAGAAUAAGCACCGGCUAACUUCGUG
Molecule: ribosomal RNA, 492 nt
Filed under: uncultured bacterium
Lineage: Bacteria
Description: partial 16S ribosomal RNA
Rfam family: Bacterial small subunit ribosomal RNA
Source: RNAcentral